GAUGAACGCUAGCGGCAGGCCUAACACAUGCAAGUCGAGGGGUAACAGGGUAGCAAUAUCGCUGACGACCGGCGCACGGGUGAGUAACGCGUAUGCAACCUUCCUUUAACUGGGGGAUAGCCCGGAGAAAUUCGGAUUAAUACCCCAUAACAUCAUAGAAAGGCAUCUUUCAGUGAUUAAAGCUCCGGCGGUUAAAGAUGGGCAUGCGUGCCAUUAGCUAGUUGGUGAGGUAACGGCUCACCAAGGCUACGAUGGUUAGGGGGUCUGAGAGGAUGAUCCCCCACACUGGUACUGAGACACGGACCAGACUCCUACGGGAGGCAGCAGUGAGGAAUAUUGGGCAAUGGGCGCAAGCCUGACCCAGCCAUGCCGCGUGAAGGAUGAAUGCCCUAUGGGUUGUAAACUUCUUUUUUACGGGACAAAACUCUCGGACGUGUCCGGGAUUGAUGGUACUGUAUGAAUAAGCAUCGGCUAACUCCGUGCCAGCAGCCGCCGUAACAC
This 501-nucleotide ribosomal RNA is filed under the name uncultured bacterium. RNAcentral's name for it is "bacterial SSU rRNA". It matches the Rfam family "Bacterial small subunit ribosomal RNA", at positions 28 to 526 of the family's 1533-position model. The record is from RNAcentral.